RNAcentral lists this long non-coding RNA (605 nucleotides) under Trifolium pratense (red clover). RNAcentral's name for it is "long non-coding RNA (TPRA_LNC001389)". The record is from RNAcentral. Lineage: Eukaryota; Viridiplantae; Streptophyta; Magnoliopsida; Fabales; Fabaceae.
ACGCAUUGAUAUACUUAAGAGUCAUUUAAUCACAAUUCUAAUUUUUGAAUGAAUUUUUUAAAUCUCCUUAAGAGCUAUUUUUUUUUUUACUCACCGUAAGAGCUAAUUAAAAACUAUGUAAUUGAUAUAAGGACAUAAUCAGAUUGAGAAAUUAUAAAGUGAUAAAGUCAUUUGUUAGAUGCAAAUGAGGGAAAUAUGUUUGAAAUUGUCAAAUUUAUUUAUGUUAUGAUUAUCUUUCUUGCAAUAUUUUUUGUUUCAAAGAAUGUAAACGGUAAGUCAUUUUUUAUACUUUUCGAUCAAAUUCUAUUAUUUACUUCAUACACACAACAUAUUAUCCCAUUUUGACUAAUUUUGUUUUCUCUUUCUAAAUUACAACAGGUUAUAGCUGUAGAUCGGAAUAUGAAUGUCUAAACAGGCGUUGUGUUGAGCCUCUUGUACCAAGGUGUAUUAGUUCUAGAUGUCAAUGUGGAUAUAAACCACUUCCGAAAUUAAUGUUGUUUUAGUUCUUGUACCCAAAUAAUUUUAUAUUUAAAAAAAAAAUCUUUCUAAUUUCAAGAACCUUGAAAUUUUGUAUUUGUACUUUAAAUUGGUGAUAAUUCAAAGGC